CCUGGUGGCUCAGAUGGUAAAGAAUCUGCCUGCAAUGCAGGAGACCCAGGUUCCAUCCCUGGGUCAGGA
Non-coding RNA from Bos taurus (domestic cattle), 69 nucleotides. The record is from Rfam. NCBI's taxonomy places the organism in Eukaryota, Metazoa, Chordata, Mammalia, Artiodactyla, Bovidae.